ACCUCACACCAAAUUUGGUGUAGUGAAUAGUGUUACACCAAACACUAUUCAUUUACACCAAAUUUGGUG
RNAcentral lists this microRNA precursor (69 nucleotides) under Rehmannia glutinosa. RNAcentral's name for it is "miR7805 stem-loop (rgl-MIR7805)". The record is from miRBase by way of RNAcentral. Lineage: Eukaryota; Viridiplantae; Streptophyta; Magnoliopsida; Lamiales; Orobanchaceae.